UACGUAGGGGGCAAGCGUUGUCCGGAAUUAUUGGGCGUAAAGAGCGUGUAGGCGGUCCGGUAAGUCAGCUGUGAAAGUCAAGGGCUCAACCCUUGAAUGCCGGUUGAUACUGUCGGGCUAGAGUCCGGAAGAGGCGAGUGGAAUUCCCGGUGUAGCGGUGAAAUGCGCAGAUAUCAGGAGGAACACCAAUUGCGAAGGCAGCUCGCUGGGACGUUACUGACGCUGAGACGCGAAAGCGUGGGGAGCAAACAGG
RNAcentral lists this ribosomal RNA (253 nucleotides) under uncultured bacterium. RNAcentral describes it as "partial 16S ribosomal RNA". It matches the Rfam family "Bacterial small subunit ribosomal RNA", at positions 524 to 776 of the family's 1533-position model. The record is from RNAcentral.